This 127-nucleotide small RNA is filed under the name Marmota monax (woodchuck). Lineage: Eukaryota; Metazoa; Chordata; Mammalia; Rodentia; Sciuridae. The record is from RNAcentral.
GCCAGGUAUGGUGGCACAUGCCUGUAAUCCCAGCUACUCAGGAGGCUGAGGCAGGAGGAUCACAAGUUCAAAGUCAGCCUCAGCAAUUUAGCGAGGCCCUAAGCAACACAGUGAGACCCUGUCUCUA